AUGCGAUCAUUGUCAUCAGCAUCUAGGAAGCAUCACGCAGGACCUUGACCUCCAUACUGCACUGUUCGUACUGGAUCUUCCUAUCAGUGGACAUUAUUGGAAGUAUCAAUGCUGCGUCAAGUCCCUCCUGGAUGGAAAGUUUUAAAACUUCUUCAUUUGGAGUUAUUUAAACACGAGGAUGUUGGGAUUUUUGAUGACGCCUACCCUAUGUGGAUUACUACAAUUUGGUUACUGGGAAUUCUCUACCUCAAAGAAGGUGACCCCCACCUCCAAGGACAGAGCUCUUUCACCCAUAUGGCUUUCUCGGGAGUCAGCUUAUUGAGUGGAAGGAACACGAGCUCUCCAGUGAGAUCUGCAUUUGCUGCUCCAGUAGUGUCCAACUUGAUGUCAUCCGCGGAUUUAGCAAAUGGGCCAUCUUUUCCAUCAUCAUCCGGUCAACCCGGGAUCACCACCGAGCAUCCUCCCCCGGCCCUGAUUGACAGAUUGCUGCUGUUGCUUGUCCUUUCCACCGAACGCCCUCAAACCCGGCAGGAAAGGGGAAAAGCUAACGAGAAAGAUCACAAGUAG
Molecule: long non-coding RNA, 567 nt
Filed under: Mustela putorius furo (domestic ferret)
Lineage: Eukaryota; Metazoa; Chordata; Mammalia; Carnivora; Mustelidae
Description: lncRNA (ENSMPUG00000029917.1)
Source: RNAcentral